This 471-nucleotide long non-coding RNA is filed under the name Homo sapiens (human). Its description in RNAcentral is "HSALNT0108863". The record is from RNAcentral. Lineage: Eukaryota; Metazoa; Chordata; Mammalia; Primates; Hominidae.
CUCAGACUGCUUUGCUAGCAAUGAGUCAGGCUUCGUGGGUGCUGGAGCCUCCAAGCAGGCACAGGAUACAAUCUCCUCGUGUGCCGCUUGUUAAGACCACUGGAAAAGCACAGUAUUAGGGUGGGAGUGACCCGAUUUUCCAGGUGCCGUCUGUCACCCCUUUCCUUGGCUAGGAAAGGGAAUUCCCUAACCCCUUGUGCUUGUCGGGUGAGGCGAUGCCUCACACUGCCUCGGUUCAUGCUCAGUGCGCUGCUGCACCCACUGUCCUGCACCCACUGUCUGACAAUCCCCAGCGAGAUGAACCCAGUACCUCAGUUGGAAUUGCAGAAAUCAUACGUCUUCUGAGUCGCUCACGGUGGGAACUGUAGACUGGAGCUGUUCUAUUCCGGUGAAUACUGAAGCUUCAAAAGAAAGAACAUAGACAAGAUUUCUACAUCUUUUACACUGGUUAUUGUAUAAAAUGAAAGAGAA